CCUACGGGUGGCAGCAGUGAGGAAUAUUGGUCAAUGGACGAGAGUCUGAACCAGCCAAGUAGCGUGAAGGAUGACUGCCCUAUGGGUUGUAAACUUCUUUUACAUGGGAGUAAAAUGCUCUACGUGUGGGAUUUUGUAUGUACCCUAAGAAUAAGGAUCGGCUAACUCCGUGCCAGCAGCCGCGGUAAUACGGAGGAUCCGAGCGUUAUCCGGAUUUAUUGGGUUUAAAGGGUGCGGAGGUGGAUGGUUAAGUCAGGUGUGAAAGUUUGGGGCUCAACCGUAAAAUUGCAGUUGAAACUGGCAGUCUAGAGUGCAGUAGAGGUAGGCGGAAUGCGUGGUGUAGCGGUGAAAUGCUUAGAUAUCACGAAGAACUCCGAUUGCGAAGGCAGUUCACUGGACUGCAACUGACGCUGAGGCUCGAAAGUGUGGGUAUCAAACAGGAUUAGAUACCCCAGUAGUC
RNAcentral lists this ribosomal RNA (460 nucleotides) under uncultured bacterium. RNAcentral's name for it is "partial 16S ribosomal RNA". It matches the Rfam family "Bacterial small subunit ribosomal RNA", at positions 338 to 795 of the family's 1533-position model. The record is from RNAcentral.